UUUAUUCUCCAUCUAAGCCAU
Molecule: non-coding RNA, 21 nt
Organism: Caenorhabditis elegans
Lineage: Eukaryota; Metazoa; Nematoda; Chromadorea; Rhabditida; Rhabditidae
Source: Ensembl